GACGAACGCUGGCGGCGCGCCUAACACAUGCAAGUCGAACGAGCGAGAGAGAGCUUUCUUUCUCGAGCGAGUGGCGAACGGGUGAGUAACGCGUGAGGAACCUGCCUCAAAGAGGGGGACAACAGUUGGAAACGACUGCUAAUACCGCAUAAGCCCACGGCUCGGCAUCGAGCCGGUGGAAAAGGAGCAAUCCGCUUUGAGAUGGCCUCGCGUCCGAUUAGCUAGUUGGUGGGGUAACGGCCCACCAAGGCGACGAUCGGUAGCCGGACUGAGAGUUUGAACGGCCACAUUGGGACUGAGACACGGCCCAGACUCCUACGGGAGGCAGCAGUGGGGAAUAUUGCAAAAUGGGGGAAACCAUGAUGCAGCGACGACGCGUGGAGGAAGAAGGUAUUCGGAUUGUAAACUCCUGUUGUUGGGGAAGAUAAUGACGGUACCCAACAAGGAAGUGACGGCUAACUACGUG
RNAcentral lists this ribosomal RNA (466 nucleotides) under uncultured bacterium. RNAcentral's name for it is "partial 16S ribosomal RNA". It matches the Rfam family "Bacterial small subunit ribosomal RNA", at positions 28 to 507 of the family's 1533-position model. The record is from RNAcentral.